CUGCUUCAGCUGCAUCUGGAUGCUCUGGAACUUGCCGUGGAUGACCCCCACCAUGUGCUCUAUCUCCGCGGGCGAGACGGGCCUGAUCCUGCUCUGCUCCUGGAGAAGGAGGUCCUGGUAAGAAAUAUAGAACUAACAAGCCACCACCAACGGGAACGGGAAGAACAUGCAAAAGGUCAACAGGAGACGUCACAUGUCCUACCAACCUCCCAGAAUCCUCCUCGCUGGAAUCCACCUUGGCUGAGUGAUGCAUGCACCACCAGGAAGGACCCCGAGUCAGAAUGAUUGGCCAGAGACAACCUGGAAACUAACCCUAUCACCAUAAAACCUGAGACUGUGAGCCACGUGGCAGAGCAGUCCUCCUGGGUUCCCUUACCCUCCUUCUCUCCGCUCAGGCACCCCUUCCCAAUAGAGUCUCUUGUUCUGUCAGC
This is a long non-coding RNA of Bubalus bubalis (water buffalo), 431 nucleotides long. RefSeq lists it as uncharacterized. The record is from RefSeq and is a predicted model, not a curated record. The transcript has 2 exons. Lineage: Eukaryota; Metazoa; Chordata; Mammalia; Artiodactyla; Bovidae.